This 253-nucleotide ribosomal RNA is filed under the name uncultured bacterium. RNAcentral's name for it is "partial 16S ribosomal RNA". It matches the Rfam family "Bacterial small subunit ribosomal RNA", at positions 524 to 776 of the family's 1533-position model. The record is from RNAcentral.
UACGUAGGGUGCAAGCGUUAAUCGGAAUUACUGGGCGUAAAGCGUGCGCAGGCGGUUUUAUAAGCCAGAUGUGAAAUCCCCGGGCUUAACCUGGGAAUGGCAUUUGGGACUGUAAGGCUAGAGUACGGCAGAGGGGACUAGAAUUCCUGGUGUAGCAGUGAAAUGCGUAGAUAUCAGGAGGAACACCAAUGGCGAAGGCAGCUCGCUGGGACGGUACUGACGCUGAGACGCGAAAGCGUGGGGAGCAAACAGG